Podospora didyma is the source of this 107-nucleotide non-coding RNA. Lineage: Eukaryota; Fungi; Ascomycota; Sordariomycetes; Sordariales; Podosporaceae. The record is from the annotation of a GenBank genome assembly.
GCCUGUGUAGCUUAGGGGUAGAGCAUUGGUCUCAUAGAAAGUAUGAUCUUGAAGUCCUUAACUUUAAGAGACAUCCAAGUACGACGGUUCGAUUCCGCCCACGGGCA